Molecule: ribosomal RNA, 479 nt
Filed under: uncultured bacterium
Lineage: Bacteria
Description: SSU rRNA
Rfam family: Bacterial small subunit ribosomal RNA
Source: RNAcentral
AGGAUGAACGCUGGCGGCGUGCUUAACACAUGCAAGUCGAACGAUGAAGCGGAGCUUGCUCUGUGGAUUAGUGGCGAACGGGUGAGUAACACGUGAGUAACCUGCCCUUGACUCUGGGAUAAGCACUGGAAACGGUGUCUAAUACCGGAUACGAGCUUCAGCCGCAUGGCUAGGAGUUGGAAAGAAUUUCGGUCAAGGAUGGACUCGCGGCCUAUCAGGUAGUUGGUGAGGUAAUGGCCCACCAAGCCUACGACGGGUAGCCGGCCUGAGAGGGUGACCGGCCACACUGGGACUGAGACACGGCCCAGACUCCUACGGGAGGCAGCAGUGGGGAAUAUUGCACAAUGGGCGCAAGCCUGAUGCAGCAACGCCGCGUGAGGGACGACGGCCUUCGGGUUGUAACCUCUUUAGUAGGAAGAAGCGAAAGUGACGGUACCUGACAGAAAAGCACCGGCUAACUACGUGCCAGCAGCCGCGGU